UAUUAGUCAAUGGCCUAACGGCUGAACUGGCAACUUGGAGAAGUGGCAAGUCUUCCAGUAUGGGGAGCAAAACAGCUAUGGGUCAAGUCCGAUAUCUUUAGGAGAAGUCUUAUUGUGAGGGCGAGUUAUAUAACACCGUAGGACUGGCCGUCCCAUAUGAAAAGAUUAUAUUAGAAUUGAANGAAGCUUUGUUUAUAUAUUGAUAAUGACAGUAUAUAUAUCGUGUCUUGACUAAUUGCGUGCCAGCAGUCGCGGUAAUACGUAAGAGACUAGUGUUAUUCAUCUUAAUUAGGUUUAAAGGGUACCCAGACGGUCAAUAUAGCUUAUAAAAUGUUAGUACUUGACUAGAGUUUUAUGUAAGAGGGCAGUACUUGAGGAGGAGAGAUGAAAUUUCGUGAUACCAAAGGGACUCUGUAAAGGCGAAGGCAGCCCUCUAUGUAAAAACUGACGUUGAAGGACGAAGGCACAGAGAACAAACAGGAUUAGAUACCCAAGUAGUCUUUGCAGUAAAUGAUGAAUGCCAUAGGUUAGAUUGGUCAAUUAUAGUCUAGGGUUAGUCUAGCAAACUAAUACCUAUACUAUUAUACCUAAUAUCUGGUCUAUAAAUGAAAGUGUAAGCAUUUCACCUCAAGAGUAAUGUGGCAACGCAGGAACUGAAAUCACUAG
RNAcentral lists this ribosomal RNA (666 nucleotides) under Fusarium oxysporum. RNAcentral describes it as "SSU rRNA". It matches the Rfam family "Bacterial small subunit ribosomal RNA", at positions 359 to 912 of the family's 1533-position model. Lineage: Eukaryota; Fungi; Ascomycota; Sordariomycetes; Hypocreales; Nectriaceae. The record is from RNAcentral.